GACGAACGCUGGCGGCGUGCCUAACACAUGCAAGUCGAACGGAGACGAUAGCAAUAUUGUCUUAGCGGCGGACGGGUGAGUAACGCGUGGGUAACCUGCCUUUUACUGGGGGAUAACACAGGGAAACUUGUGCUAAUACCGCAUAAUAUCAUGAGAGGACAUCCUUUUAUGAUCAAAGGAGCAAUCCGGUGAAAGAUGGACCCGCGUCCGAUUAGCUAGUUGGUGAGGUAAUGGCCCACCAAGGCGACGAUCGGUAGCCGAACUGAGAGGUUGAUCGGCCACAUUGGGACUGAGACACGGCCCAGACUCCUACGGGAGGCUG
This 322-nucleotide ribosomal RNA is filed under the name uncultured Bacillota bacterium. RNAcentral's name for it is "bacterial SSU rRNA". It matches the Rfam family "Bacterial small subunit ribosomal RNA", at positions 28 to 351 of the family's 1533-position model. The record is from RNAcentral. Lineage: Bacteria; Bacillati; Bacillota.